This 1790-nucleotide long non-coding RNA is filed under the name Olea europaea subsp. europaea. The record is from RNAcentral. Lineage: Eukaryota; Viridiplantae; Streptophyta; Magnoliopsida; Lamiales; Oleaceae.
GAAAAUUUUAAAAAAAAUCAUAAGGUACAAUCCCUUUUAGCGAUAAGUACCACUCAAUAGCACAAAUAUUUUUUUCCCCAGAAAAUCGGCUUUUAAUAAAGCUCUUUUAGACUUUUACACUUGCUCACGACAGAUAUCCCUUGACGCCGUUAUAACCACAACAAAAACUGACGGCGUUAAGAAAACCGUCCAAAACGCCCUCUCUCUGUCUCUGCCUCUAUUUCUUUCUGCAAAUAUACAAGUAGAAGAACAAGCAGAACCUUCUCUCUCUACUUUUGCACAUAUCUAUAUAUUCGAUACUCUCGCACGCAGCUACUCUCUCUUUCUAGGGUUUCAGACCGGUGGGAACGUACAGGUUCGAUCACGUAAAAUUCGCUUGUAUUUAUAAAGAGGCUCGGUAUAAAUCUAUAAUUACUUCAAUAUAUAUGUGAUAUUUGUUUGUGUUUAUAUUAUUAUCAUAGAUGUGUGCAAGUGAGAGAUUUAGAUGCCUUAAUUGUGAGAUAUGAAUGGAAAUUAUGUGCAUCAGAAAGGAUUAUUAUGUAAUGGUGAAUGAGAUAUGCUAAUAUGUUGACUGUGAUUACAGUUAUUUGGGCAUGAAUUUCGGAUCUCUUAUGACAACUACAGUGUCGAACUCUUGUUGUUUUUUUGGUGUUUUACCUGUCUUCUUCUCCGAAAUAGCUUUGUGAAUCGCUAAUUGUGCAUCUGGCAUUUGUUUGCGGUGUAUAAAUUUAUUGGUUCGAUUUUCGCUUAAUUAAUCAAAAUUGUUUCUGUAUUUUCAGUUUGCUGGAGAUUUAGGUAAAUAAUUUUUGGUGAUGAUCGAGCUGUUUUAUCAGUAUGGGUUGAUUUGACACAGUCAAAAUGGUCCUGUAGUUCUGUUGUAUUUGAUGAUUGACUGCAGUUUAUAAUUUUUCAUUUGUUCGGAUUUUAAUUAUGUGAAUGAUCGUAAAAGUACUGUAUACCACUCCGACUGUAUGCAUACAGUUUCUGUAGAGACUACAGUUGGGAAAUCAUAUCUCACAAUACUUCAGUCUCCAUUUCCACUUUCUUUGUGACUAUUCUGGUGUCAAUCAUGAUAUUCAGUUUUUCCAUAUCCACUCAAGUCUGAUAACUGGCUGUGUUGAUAUCAUUAUAUUUUAGUUUUCAAUUUUCUCUUACUUAUCUGUUUAGUAUUAUAUAAUACUAUUAUAAAUUUUUAAUGCUUUGUAUACAAGUUUACUGUGAGUCAGCUAAGGUAUCAGAGAUUUGGGUUAUUGAGUAAGGUCCUGGUAAAAAAAUCAGAAGGUUUUUCACUUUUGGCACAUGUAAAGUGUAUAAGUUAUUUCGAGAUCAUAAUUAAUUGAUGUCUGAUUGUUACCAUUCAAUUUUUGAUUGCAGAUAACUCGUGUUUGUAUGAGUUCUUCUCCCUUUUGCUAAAAUCAUUGAUGUGAAAGACAGUUACCCGUAAGCUAUCAAUAAUUUGUUCUGGGUGUGUGAGAGAAAAUGGGAUCUGCUUGUUGUGUUGCUGCUAGAGACAGUACUAUAACAAGUGGAAGACCCAAUGAAACUUUGCAGAGGCAUGUUUGCCAUUCACCAUCAUGGAGCUUUCUAUUGGACAACCGUGGAAGGGUAGCAGGUGAAGAGACUUCUUCAAAUAUAUUACUUAAUGGAGGUGGAGGUGAUGAUCGUUUGGAUGUUAAAUCUGCUACCACUGUGGAAACUGCAUUAGCUUCUGAGGAGGGCAGUUCAUUAGAUAGUUUCCGUUCACUUGCAUGUCGGAAGUCCCCAGUUUCAGAUGGAAAUGGUGGAAUUUU